AGUGAACGCUGGCGGUAGGCCUAACACAUGCAAGUCGAACGGCAGCACAGUAAGAGCUUGCUCUUACGGGUGGCGAGUGGCGGACGGGUGAGGAAUACAUCGGAAUCUACUUUUUCGUGGGGGAUAACGUAGGGAAACUUACGCUAAUACCGCAUACGACCUACGGGUGAAAGCAGGGGAUCUUCGGACCUUGCGCGAUUGAAUGAGCCGAUGUCGGAUUAGCUAGUUGGCGGGGUAAAGGCCCACCAAGGCGACGAUCCGUAGCUGGUCUGAGAGGAUGAUCAGCCACACUGGAACUGAGACACGGUCCAGACUCCUACGGGAGGCAGCAGUGGGGAAUAUUGGACAAUGGGGGCAAGCCUGAUCCAGCCAUACCGCGUGGGUGAAGAAGGCCUUCGGGUUGUAAAGCCCUUUUGUUGGGAAAGAAAAGCAGCAGGUUAAUACCCCGCUGUUCUGACGGUACCCGAAGAAUAAGCACCGGCUAACUUCGUG
RNAcentral lists this ribosomal RNA (492 nucleotides) under uncultured bacterium. Its description in RNAcentral is "partial 16S ribosomal RNA". It matches the Rfam family "Bacterial small subunit ribosomal RNA", at positions 29 to 507 of the family's 1533-position model. The record is from RNAcentral.